RNAcentral lists this ribosomal RNA (403 nucleotides) under uncultured prokaryote. RNAcentral describes it as "bacterial SSU rRNA". It matches the Rfam family "Bacterial small subunit ribosomal RNA", at positions 355 to 776 of the family's 1533-position model. The record is from RNAcentral.
UGGGGAAUAUUGCACAAUGGGGGAAACCCUGAUGCAGCGACGCCGCGUGAGUGAAGAAGUAUUUCGGUAUGUAAAGCUCUAUCAGCAGGGACGAUAAUGACGGUACCUGACUAAGAAGCCCCGGCUAACUACGUGCCAGCAGCCGCGGUAAUACGUAGGGGGCAAGCGUUAUCCGGAAUUACUGGGCGUAAAGGGUGCGUAGGUGGUUUCUUAAGUCGGAGGUGAAAGGCUACGGCUCAACCGUAGUAAGCCUUUGAAACUGGGAAACUUGAGUGCAGGAGAGGAGAGUGGAAUUCCUAGUGUAGCGGUGAAAUGCGUAGAUAUUAGGAGGAACACCAGUUGCGAAGGCGGCUCUCUGGACUGUAACUGACACUGAUGCACGAAAGCGUGGGGAGCAAACAGG